Long non-coding RNA from Piliocolobus tephrosceles (Ugandan red Colobus), 2881 nucleotides. RefSeq lists it as uncharacterized. The record is from RefSeq and is a predicted model, not a curated record. Lineage: Eukaryota; Metazoa; Chordata; Mammalia; Primates; Cercopithecidae. The transcript is spliced from 3 exons.
CAGGUGUAACCACAACCUUGAAUUUCAGGAGCCCUGCCUUCAUCCUGGAUGAGGAUUUGCAUAAAUGUCCUCACUGACCCCACCACAGGCACAGUCCUGUGACUGAGCCCAAUAAAUAAAGCCUUUUGUCAGAGUCAGGCUGGUGAGAGGCAGAAAGAUGGUGCCAUCCCAGCUCCUGGGGCUCCUGCUCCUCUGUGUUCCAGGUUCCAAUGGGCAGAUUGUGCUCACCCAGGCUGCAGAGUCUCUGCCCGCCUCCCUGGGAGAGAAAGUCUCCCUGCGGGGCCAGUGAGAGGCUCCUCUACACGGACGGGAAGGACUACUUAUCCUGGUACUAGCACAGACCUGGGCAGAGCCCUAAGAUUCUCAUUUGCCGUGCUUCUACCCAAGUCGACGGGGUGCCCAUCCGGUUCAGUGGCAGUGGAUCUGGGACAGAAUUUACUCUCACCAUUGAAGACCUGGAGCCAGAGGACUUUGCAACCUAUUUCUGUCUUCAAACUCUGAAGAGUCCUCCCACAGUGAUUGAGCCCCGAACACUAACUUCCCUACCAGGGCAAGCCCACAGACCCAGCCUCCCUUUGGGCCCCUCACACAGGAGCUCAUCUGGCAGGAACAGCUGAGCACAGUCAAUACACAAGCAUGUGAGAAGCAGUUUAAUGAUGCCAGGGCAGAAACGAUACUCACUCAGUCUCCGGCGAGUGAGUCAGCGACUCCAGGAGACAAAGUCACCAUCUCCUGCAAAGCCAGCCAAGACAUUGAUGAUGAUAUGAACUGGUACCAACAGGAGCCAGAAGAAGCUCCUAAACUCAUUAUUAAAGAUGCUACUACUCUCGUUUCUGGAAUCCCACCUCAAUUCAGUGGCAGUGGGUAUGGGAUAGAUUUUACCCUGACAAUUAAUAGCAUGAAAUCUGAGGAUGCUGCAUAUUACUUCUGCCAACAGAGGGAUAAUACACCUCUCACGGUGAUGAACCCUGUUACAAAAACCUCCAAAUGCUCUCGCUGGGAUUGCCUCCGCUGCUACUGAAAAUAUUCGGAGUGUGGAACUGGGUGACCCUGUGGUGUUUAUAACGCUUCUCCAUGCCCAUGCAACUCACUUCCUUUUUGUUUCUGUAGUUUCUGCUGCCCCCAUGCUGUGCCUGACACACUUGAUAUGGCAGAGACUAGGACAGCCUUCCUCACAUUGUCCAGCUGUGCCAAUAAUCUCAUUUCCGAGCAGGGGUAAGUUCACAUGGCCAAGUCCCUGUUUUUUGCCAAACUCAUCAUUUCCACCUCCAAGGAAAACAGAAACAAAGACCAAGAUUGAUCUAGCUUAGAUUCCAAAUAGUAGCAUUAAAGGAAAUUUUUCCUCCCUCUCAGCGUGCUCACCCUCAUCCACACAGUCAUUGUGACUCUUUGCUAACGCUCUGAGUUCUCUAGUUCUCCCUCCAAUAAUAGGGGGAAAACAAGGAUAGAUAUGAAAGCGGCAUGUAACCUGGGUGCAGAUCUUACAGUCUUGCUCUCCUUAAAUCCCUGGAAUUUUUAUUUCAUCUAUUUCAUCUGGUUUGUUCUUGCUAAAUGACCACUAACGACCACUAGGAUCUCUCUUACUUAUUUCUCUCUCUUCUUAAACAUCUCCAUUCUUCUUUGAUAUUAUUCAACUACGUAAUACCAAAGUUAAAGGGUUUCCUUUUGUACUCUUGGCAUAAACUAUUAUCAGGUAACCUUUCCGCUUAACCCCAUUGCACUACUGGCCAACUUUCACCUAACAUCUUACAUGGAAGGAGUAUGUAGAGAACAAAGACAUUACCUUAAAUUUUGGAAUUCAGAAUACUCAAGGAGGCAAUAAUCUGUGUACCACCCCACUCUAAUCAAUAAGGAUUAAAUAACAGUUAGGUUAUUUAAUUAUUUGUCGUCUAAAUGAAGUUUUGUUGUGUCUGGUGAGAAAACAAUGAUAACAUUAAACUAAUCUCUAUGUUUUGAUCUUAUCAUUCCCAGCCUAUCAGCUUCCUUGCUGUUGUUUCCCUAUAGUCUCCACCUAGAGAACUUUCAUGUGUAUGUGUUCAAAACCUGUGGCUUCUAAUGAGACUUCGAGGUCUAUCCAAAACUACACCUGACUCUACAACAUUUAAUGAGUACUAAGUUUAGUAUUUAAUAGCCAUCAAACAAAGAAAGCAGUGAAAGUAAGGGGAGUCCCAGAAAAUUGUCAAUUUUAAACAAUUCUUUUCAUACAAUGUAAUCAUUUAAAGUUGUAAGUUUUCCUCUGAGUAGUGUUUUAACUGCAUCCCAAAGUUUUUAAAUGAAUAUUAUCAUUCUUAGUUUCUUGAUCAUAAAAACAUUUGGAGAAUACAGAUUAUUAUAAUUGGAGUUAAAAAAACUAUUAAGUAAUGUUGUUGCCAUUUUUUUUAAAUGUAUUUAUUUUCAAUUGACAGAUAAAGCUGUAUGUAUUUAUCAUGUACAAUAUGAUAUUUUGAAGUUUAUAUACAUUGUGGAACGGCUAAUUCUAGCUAACUAACAUAUGCUUUACUUCACAUAAUUCUUAUUUUUGUGGUGAGAACAUGUAACAUCCAUUCAGUAUUUUUCAAGAAUAAAAUGCUCACUAGUCAUAGUUACUUUGGUGUAUCAUAGAUCUCUUGAAUUUGUUUCUCCUAUUUAACUAAUUAUGUAUCUUUGACCAACAUCUCCCCAGUAUAUCUCCUCUCCCCUAACCACCCCAGGCUCUGGUAACCACCAUAAUGUUCUAUUUCUAUGAGAUCAACUUUUUUAGAUCCCGUAUACGAAUGAGAUCAUGAGGUGGUUGUCUUUCUUCAUCUGGCUUAUUUCACUUAACGUUAAUGUCCUCAAAGGUCAUCCAUGUUGUCAUAAAUGACAGAAUUUCCUUCUUUUUAUGGUUGAAUGCUAUUCCAUU